This 34-nucleotide ribosomal RNA is filed under the name Rhizobium sp. Glm-9. RNAcentral describes it as "partial 23S ribosomal RNA". The record is from RNAcentral. RNAcentral also lists the same sequence under 1 other name. Lineage: Bacteria; Pseudomonadati; Pseudomonadota; Alphaproteobacteria; Hyphomicrobiales; Rhizobiaceae.
GAUCAAGUGUCGUAAGGGCAUUUAGUGGAUGCCU